CUCCGGUUGAUCCUGCCGGACCUGACUGCUAUCGGAUUGGUACUAAGCCAUGCGAGUCGUUGUAGCAAUACAAGGCGGACGGCUCAGUAACACGUAGUCAACCUAACCUAUAGACGUGGAUAACCUCGGGAAACUGAGAAUAAACCGCGAUAGAUCAUUAUGCCUGGAAUGGCUUAUGGUUCAAACAAUUUAUUGCCGUAGGAUGGGACUGCGGCCUAUCAGCUUGUUGGUGAGGUAAUGGCCCACCAAGGCUAUAACAGGUACGGGCUCUGAGAGGAGAAGCCCGGAGAUGGGUACUGAGACACGGACCCAGGCCCUAUGGGGCGCAGCAGGCGAGAAACCUUAGCAAUGUGCGAAAGCACGACUAGGUUAAUCCGAGUGAUUUCUGUUGAAGAAAUCUUUUGUCAGUCGUAAAACCACAGACGAAUAAGGGGUGGGCAAGUCUGGUGUCAGCCGCCGCGGUAAUACCAGCACCUCGAGUGGUCAGGAGGUUUAUUGGGCCUAAAGCAUCCGUAGCCGGCUACGCAAGUCUCCGGUUAAAUCCAGCUGCUCAACAGAUGGGCUGCCGGAGAUACUACAUAGCUAGGGAGCGGGAGAGGUAGACGGUAUUCUGUGGGUAGGGGUAAAAUCCACUGAUCCAUAGAGGACCACCAGUGGCGAAGGCGGUCUACCAGAACGCGUUCGACGGUGAGGGAUGAAAGCUGGGGGAGCAAACCGGAUUAGAUACCCGGGUAGUCCCAGCUGUAAACGAUGCAAACUCGGUGAUGCAUUGGCUUAUGGCCAAUGCAGUGCCGCAGGGAAGCCGUUAAGUUUGCCGCCUGGGAAGUACGGACGCAAGUCUGAAACUUAAAGGAAUUGGCGGGGGAGCA
Molecule: ribosomal RNA, 869 nt
Filed under: uncultured archaeon
Lineage: Archaea
Description: bacterial SSU rRNA
Rfam family: Archaeal small subunit ribosomal RNA
Source: RNAcentral